ACGAGUGGAACCAUUAGUUGAAGGAGAAGGAGAGGGAAAUAUUGUGAGGCCCGUGAUGCGCAUAGGGUCUUGGGGUUCCUUCACGACCUCGAAUGACGAUGAUUCUUCGAGCAGUACUACGGAGCCUGCAAAUAUUUCACCCAAUAUGAGAGGUUGUCCCAAGAGCCGUGAAACUUCUUUCAGUGCAAAGAACGUACCAUCCUCUGAAAUUGCUUCGUAUACUGAUCCAAA
RNAcentral lists this unclassified non-coding RNA (231 nucleotides) under Hevea brasiliensis (rubber tree). Lineage: Eukaryota; Viridiplantae; Streptophyta; Magnoliopsida; Malpighiales; Euphorbiaceae. The record is from RNAcentral.